RNAcentral lists this ribosomal RNA (500 nucleotides) under uncultured bacterium. Its description in RNAcentral is "partial 16S ribosomal RNA". It matches the Rfam family "Bacterial small subunit ribosomal RNA", at positions 30 to 523 of the family's 1533-position model. The record is from RNAcentral.
AUUGAACGCUGGCGGCAUGCCUUACACAUGCAAGUCGAACGGCAGCACGGGAGCAAUCCUGGUGGCGAGUGGCGAACGGGUGAGUAAUGUAUCGGAACGUGCCCAGUCGUGGGGGAUAACGCAGCGAAAGCUGUGCUAAUACCGCAUACGAUCUAUGGAUGAAAGCGGGGGAUCGCAAGACCUCGCGCGAUUGGAGCGGCCGAUAUCAGAUUAGGUAGUUGGUGGGGUAAAGGCCCACCAAGCCGACGAUCUGUAGCUGGUCUGAGAGGACGACCAGCCACACUGGGACUGAGACACGGCCCAGACUCCUACGGGAGGCAGCAGUGGGGAAUUUUGGACAAUGGGCGCAAGCCUGAUCCAGCAAUGCCGCGUGCAGGAUGAAGGCCUUCGGGUUGUAAACUGCUUCUGUACGGAGCGAAACGGCUUCCACUAAUACUGGGGGCUAAUGACGGUACCGUAAGAAUAAGCACCGGCUAACUACGUGCCAGCCGCCGCUGUAA